CGUACACUCCUACGGGAGGCAGCAGUGGGGAAUUUUGGACAAUGGGCGAAAGCCUGAUCCAGCCAUGCCGCGUGCAGGAUGAAGGCCUUCGGGUUGUAAACUGCUUUUGUACGGAACGAAACGGCCUUUUCUAAUAAAGAGGGCUAAUGACGGUACCGUAAGAAUAAGCACCGGCUAACUACGUGCCAGCAGCCGCGGUAAUACGUAGGGUGCAAGCGUUAAUCGGAAUUACUGGGCGUAAAGCGUGCGCAGGCGGUUAUGUAAGACAGUUGUGAAAUCCCCGGGCUCAACCUGGGAACUGCAUCUGUGACUGCAUAGCUAGAGUACGGUAGAGGGGGAUGGAAUUCCGCGUGUAGCAGUGAAAUGCGUAGAUAUGCGGAGGAACACCGAUGGCGAAGGCAAUCCCCUGGACCUGUACUGACGCUCAUGCACGAAAGCGUGGGGAGCAAACAGGAUUAGAAACCCUGGUAGUCCCA
This 476-nucleotide ribosomal RNA is filed under the name uncultured organism. RNAcentral describes it as "partial 16S ribosomal RNA". It matches the Rfam family "Bacterial small subunit ribosomal RNA", at positions 330 to 797 of the family's 1533-position model. The record is from RNAcentral.